Molecule: long non-coding RNA, 306 nt
Filed under: Gallus gallus (chicken)
Lineage: Eukaryota; Metazoa; Chordata; Aves; Galliformes; Phasianidae
Source: RNAcentral
CAUCCGCAGCCAUUCCUUGGGGCGGGACAUGCACACAGGCGCUCAGCAGCUCAGCAGAAGGGAAAGCAGAACGGGAAGCCGCGGCACGGGACGGCCGAAGGACGCAGCGCGGCACCCAGCGACCUUCGCGCCUCCUCCCGUCACGGCGCGGCCUAAGCGCAGCGGGAGGCGCGGGCACGGCGGGCUGCUGCUCCCCGGCCUGCCCCGGCCCCGGCCCGCCCCCCAGCCGCUGCCAUCGCGGCGCCCGUCCCUCCCCGCCCCGCUCCUCCCCGCCGGCUCCGGCCGGGCCCGGGCCCUCCGGCCGCU